This is a long non-coding RNA of Oncorhynchus tshawytscha (Chinook salmon), 2514 nucleotides long. RefSeq lists it as uncharacterized. The record is from RefSeq and is a predicted model, not a curated record. The transcript has 3 exons. Lineage: Eukaryota; Metazoa; Chordata; Actinopteri; Salmoniformes; Salmonidae.
CUACUUAUUUAGAUUUAGUUUGACUUAAUGAAACUGCCUUAAAUGUGCUGUAGUAAAAAAAUAUAUAUUCUCACUAAUCAAUCAACACAUUCCUGUCUUUGUAUGUCUCAAUAUAAUAGUAUUAUUUAAUUAAAUCCAUGUAAAAUAAGAUUUGUCUGACAAUAAAAUAUGAUCCUCAACUGCGUUUCCCCCCCCCAGUCAGCAGACGGCGAUGUGCGUCUUUCAUGCGAUGCUGCUAGCGUGACGUAUAAUCUAGUGGACGGUUCUUCAUAAACAGCUUGUCAACCACCUCGGUAGCUUGCUAGCCAACAUACCCGAAAUAUUCAAGCUGUUUAUACGCUUUCGGUGUAUUUUAGCUACUGUGUUUUAGACACACGUCUGUCGUAUCUACUUGUUAACCUAUUUAAUUUAAUAUUACGUUAUUUUGUAUUAGUCAGCUAUAGUAGCUGGCUGGUUAAGUUAGCACUAGCCUAGUCGCUAAUGAUAGCUAACUAGCUAACAUCCCCGAACAUGAGCUCCCUAAACUACUCCCCUCCUGUUAAAGAAGAGGUCUGCUGGACGGAGAAAGAAGCUCUGGGGCUGAACUUUGUCGUGAAAGAGGAGAAGGAAGAGGAGGAUGUUACUGUGAUAAAAGAGGUUGAGGCUGUUACCAUGAAAGAAGAACAGAAAGACGUUUCAGUGAAAGAAGAGGAAGACUCGUUCAGAGUGAAAGAGGAGGAUAUUACAGUAAAAUAAGAGGAGGAAAGGAAAGAGGAUGCAUUUUUUUGAGUGAAGGGGUGAUUACUGUCCCAUUGAAAGAUGAAGAGGAGGAGAUAGGAUAUCUGAUUAACACCAGAGAGAGGCCAGACUCUCGCUAUGACAGCAGGAAGAGUCCUUCAAGGGAACCAGACCCAGAGACGCCCAAACCAGCGAGACAACACAACUGCUCCCACUGUGAAAAGAGAUUUUCCGGAUCAGGGGACUUAAAAGCUCACGAGAGGACACACACAGGAGAAAAGCCUUUCCAAUGUUCCCAGUGUGGAAAGAGUUUUAUUCAGUUAGGAAGCCUGGAGGAGCAUGAGUGGACGCACACAGGAGAAAAGCCUUAUCACUGUUACCAGUGUGGAAAGAGUUUUACUGUGUUAAAUAACCUGAAAAGGCACGAGAGAAUACACACAGGAGAAAAGCCAUUCCAGUGUUCUCAUUGUGGAAAGAGUUUUAUUCAGGGAGGGCACCUACAAGAGCUUGAGAGUAUACACACAGGAUUAAAGCCUUACCACUGCUUCUUAUGUGAAAAUAGAUUUCCCCGAUCAGGGGAACUAAAAGCUCAUGAGGACCCACACAGGAGAAAAGCCUUUCCAAUGUUCCCAGUGUAGAAAGCAUUUUACUGUGUUAGCUAACCUGAAAAUGCAUGAGAGAAUACACACAGGAGAAAAGCCGGACACUGAAGAUGUGUGUGUGGAUUAAGGCAGCCGUUCGUACCUCUGAUUCAGAGGGGUUGGGUUAAAUCUCAAUCCAAGAUAGAUAGCGUAGCAGUGCAGACGUGUUUUGUUUUCCUCUCGUGUACUUUUGUAUUUUUUUGUCUUUUUAAAAUAUAUUUCAAUUUUAUUUUCAAUCGCUUCUACAUUUUAAUUCAACUAUACCUUCCGGUAACCUGCCUCACCCAAUGUGAUACGGAACCGCUAUUAUUUUAAAUUUGUAGACCUUAUAGCAAGAACCACCUAGCCAACAGAAGCUAAUUAGCUACAAGCUAUUUAGUCAUUCUUAGCCACUGCUAGCGGCCUUUACCUUCUGCACAGAUACCAGCCCUUUUUAAAAAUAUUUUUUUAGCCUGGGUAAUACUCACCAGCCUACCAGUAACGGACUGUCUCUCCACUACAACGCCGGAUUCCUGCCAUAAUCCCCGGACCAUUACUCCUGAUCUUCACAGCUAGCUAGCACCCACCGAGUUACCCAGUACCGAAGCUAUCCCUGAGGCCCACCUCCCGGCCUACUCAGUUGUUCACCCGGACUCCACCCAAAUACUGCUAGAACACACUACUCCACCGGAUCCUUGCCGUAAGCUCUGGACCUUGGCACCGGAUCACCGCUGCUACCGAGUGGCUAUAGUGGCUAACGCCCCUGCCUCGAAGCUAGCACCAGUUAGCCGUGAGCCAUGCGCAUCUCCCGGCUAGAAAACUAAAUUAUUACAACUACAAUACCUCUUUCGCCAUCUGUCUUGGAUCCUUAGUCAACACGGCGCCCCGCCGCACCACCACGACUGGUCUGCCGACGAAUACUCCAUCCGCUGUGCCUUCAACCGGCCUCCGUCGGAGCAGACGCUUCUACUAGCCCCGAGCUACUAACUUUAAACAUUGUGUCGCCUGCGUGCUAGCGUAGUAGCGACUACUCCGCGGAUUCCCUGUUCCAUCUUGAUGCUCCCUGGACCCUAUGAUCACUUGGCUACAUAGCUGAUGCCUGCUGGACUGUCCAUUAAUCACGCACACCACGCCAACCCUGAUGUCCUUGCCGUGUAUGAAACCUGGCUUAGGAAGG